Molecule: ribosomal RNA, 397 nt
Filed under: uncultured bacterium
Lineage: Bacteria
Description: partial 16S ribosomal RNA
Rfam family: Bacterial small subunit ribosomal RNA
Source: RNAcentral
AUACGUAGGUGACAAGCGUUAUCCGGAUUUACUGGGCGUAAAGGGCGUGUAGGCGGUCUUGCAAGUCAGAAGUGAAAUUCCUGAGCUCAACUCGGGCGCUGCUUCUGAAACUGCAGGACUUGAGUGCUGGAGGGGAUAGCGGAAUUCCUAGCGGAGCGGUAAAAUGCGCAGAUAUUAGGAAGAACACCGGUGGCGAAGGCGGCUAUCUGGACAGUAACUGACGCUGAGGCGCGAAAGCGUGGGGAGCAAACAGGAUUAGAUCCCCUGGUAGUCCACGCCGUAAACGAUGAAUACUAGGUGUAGGGGGUAUCGACUCCCUCUGUGCCGCAGUUAACACAAUAAGUAUUCCGCCUGGGGAGUACGGCCGCAAGGUUGAAACUCAAAUGAAUUGACGGGG